This 253-nucleotide ribosomal RNA is filed under the name uncultured bacterium. Its description in RNAcentral is "partial 16S ribosomal RNA". It matches the Rfam family "Bacterial small subunit ribosomal RNA", at positions 524 to 776 of the family's 1533-position model. The record is from RNAcentral.
UACGUAGGGGCCGAGCGUUGUCCGGAGUUAUUGGGCGUAAAGCGCGCGCAGGCGGCCUCGCGCGCCCGACGUGAAAGCCCCCGGCUUAACCGGGGAGGGUCGUUGGGGACGGCGGGGCUUGAGGGCGGGAGAGGGUGGUGGAAUUCCCGGUGUAGUGGUGAAAUGCGUAGAGAUCGGGAGGAACACCCGUGGCGAAGGCGGCCACCUGGGCCGACCCCGACGCUGAGGCGCGAAGGCGUGGGGAGCAAACAGG